UAGAGUUUGAUCCUGGCUCAGGAUGAACGCUAGCGAGGCUUAACACAUGCAAGUCGAACGGUAAGGCCCCUUCGGGGGUACACGAGUGGCGCACGGGUGAGUAACGCGUAUGCAACCUGCCCUGUACAGGGGGAUAGCCCGGAGAAAUCCGGAUUAAUACCCCAUAGUUUUUACGAGUCGCAUGGCUUGUAAAAUAAAGUUUCGGCGGUACAGGAUGGGCAUGCGUGGCAUUAGCUAGUUGGUAAGGUAACGGCUUACCAAGGCGACGAUGCCUAAGGGUUCUGAGAGGAUGAUCCCCCACACUGGGACUGAGACACGGCCCAGACUCCUACGGGAGGCAGCAGUGAGGAAUAUUGGUCAAUGGGCGAGAGCCUGAACCAGCCAUCCCGCGUGCAGGAUGACGGCCCUACGGGUUGUAAACUGCUUUUAUGUACCAAGAAUAGGCGCUACGUGUAGUGUUAUGACGGUAGUACAUGAAUAAGCAUCGGCUAACUCCGUGCCAGCAGCCGCGGUAAUACGGAGGAUGCAAGCGUUAUCCGGAUUCAUUGGGUUUAAAGGGUGCGUAGGCGGUCUGAUAAGUCAGUGGUGAAAUGCUGCAGCUCAACUGUAGAACUGCCAUUGAAACUGUCAGACUUGAGUGCGCCUGAGGUAGGCGGAAUGAGUAGUGUAGCGGUGAAAUGCUUAGAUAUUACUCAGAACACCGAUUGCGAAGGCAGCUUACUAAAGCGUAACUGACGCUGAUGCACGAAAGCGUGGGGAGCGAACAGGAUUAGAUACCCUGGUAGUCCACGCCGUAAACGAUGAUAACUCGCUGUUGGCGAUACACAGUCAGCGGCUUAGCGAAAGCAUUAAGUUAUCCACCUGGGGAGUACGAUCGCAAGGUGAAACUCAAAGGAAUUGACGGGGCCCGCACAAGCGAGGAACAUGUGGUUAAUUCGAUGAUACGCGAGGAACCUUACCUGGGCUUAAAUGUGGAUUGACCGUUGCUGAAAAGUGACUUCCCUUCGGGGCAAUUUACAAGGUGCUGCAUGGUUGUCGUCAGCUCGUGCCGUGAGGUGUCGGGUUAAGUCCCAUAACGAGCGCAACCCUUAUCGUCAGUUGCUAACAGGUAAAGCUGAGGACUCUGGCGAGACUGCCACCGUAAGGUGAGAGGAAGGUGGGGAUGACGUCAAAUCAGCACGGCCCUUACGUCCAGGGCUACACACGUGUUACAAUGGUCGGUACAAAGGGCAGCUACUUGGCAACAAGAUGCUAAUCCCAAAAGCCGGUCUCAGUUCGGAUUGGAGUCUGCAACCCGACUCCAUGAAGCUGGAUUCGCUAGUAAUCGCGCAUCAGCCAUGGCGCGGUGAAUACGUUCCCGGCCUUGUACACACCGCCCGUCAAACCAUGGAAGCUUGGGGGACCUGAAGUCUGCAACCGCAAGGAGCGGCCUAGGGUAAAACAAGUGACUGGGGUUAA
This 1458-nucleotide ribosomal RNA is filed under the name bacterium Phenol-4. RNAcentral's name for it is "16S ribosomal RNA". It matches the Rfam family "Bacterial small subunit ribosomal RNA". Lineage: Bacteria; Pseudomonadati; Bacteroidota. The record is from RNAcentral.